GUUUUUUCUUGUUAACUUGUUCUUUUCAGGCUCAAAUGAAUUAGGGGGCUUGCUAGCUUCCUUCUUCAGCUCAGCUGUUCAUGGCCUGCAUGCAUGUUGGCAUUUUGAAGCAUACUUGGAGUUUGUGUUCCUCUCUUGGCUGAACUGGUGGCUGAGAAACAGAACUUGAGAGACUUCCUUUUGCCUGCACCUCUGUGGAAACAGUGUGACCACUAUGCUAUCACAUAUCAAACCAGCCAAGAUUUUCCCUAGGAAGAACGACUAUCGGAGGAGCAAAUGUUGCCCUAACAGCAGACCGCCUCCUCUCAGCCCAGCACCCAGACUCCAUUGCUUUACGCAGGGAUGGAGAGCAGAGAGCCAGAAGCUCUCAAAGGGAAGAGAGUGCAUUCAUAUGCAAAUGAACAUGUAAUUGCCUGUGAAGCAUCUUGUGGAACUGAAAGCUGUCCAGGUGAAAGAGAAAACCAGCUUAUUCGGAUGGAGUUAAGAGAGCUACAGUCAUAUACUGGCUCUGGAUGA
This 516-nucleotide long non-coding RNA is filed under the name Phasianus colchicus (ring-necked pheasant). RNAcentral's name for it is "lncRNA (ENSPCLG00000019940.1)". Lineage: Eukaryota; Metazoa; Chordata; Aves; Galliformes; Phasianidae. The record is from RNAcentral.